GCGUCCGUUUCGUUUCUGUCCCACCGGGCACUCGUGUCCGGCUGCGACUGUGUUGAGGCGUCGUCCGGCCAAACCCCGGGCGUCCCUUSAAGUGCGAA
This 98-nucleotide unclassified non-coding RNA is filed under the name Spongilla lacustris. RNAcentral describes it as "sequence contains 5.8S rRNA gene, ITS2". Lineage: Eukaryota; Metazoa; Porifera; Demospongiae; Spongillida; Spongillidae. The record is from RNAcentral.